GUGUCAGGCGAACGUGCUAACCACCAACAAUUAUUAGAGAUAGGUUAAGAACUUUCUUGCUAGUGCAAGACCCGGUUUCUUAAGAAACAGUACAGAAGCUGGAAACCAGUGAGUGUCGAUUUAACGUUUGAAAUGGAGAUGGGAUGGAACAAAAGGAUGCAGUAGCUUUUGAACAUUGUUUUGAAACAAAGAUUGGCUUAGGAUGAGAAAAAGAAAAAGCAGUCCAAAAUGUACACAGACAUGGGAACUGGUGUUUGCUCCAUAAGGAAAGUUGCCAGAGAAUGAGUAAGCUUGGCUGUCCUUACCGCAGCCUAGUGAAUCAUAUAUUGAGAAUCUUCUGGAAGAAAAUAUACUGCUCAGCAUCUCUAAACAAGUGCACCCUGAAGCCCUGAGCAAUACAGGAAAACCCAAAGUUUGGGAACACCUUGUCCUACUUUUUGAAAUCUCCUUAAUCCUUGAGUUUCAAUUACACAGAACACAUGUCAAUGCUGUGCACAAGACCUGUGGAGAAGAAGGAGGUAGUCUGUAAGGGAAUGGCCUGACAAGUCCCCCAACUUUAACUCAAUUGAGCUGCUCUAGGAGGAGUUGGAUCGAAAGGUUUGAGAGGGGUGUCACUUCACAGCUUCCUCUGGGAAAUCCUGCAAGGAUUUUGGAGAAAAAAAAAGAGGCUGUUUGUAAUUGUAUGAAGAAAAGAUGUGAGAUAGUUAAAUCUGCUAAGGAAGAUGUCAAGGAAUGUACAGUUCCAGCAACUGCUAACUAUGCUGUACACAUUCUCUGUCAACUUUUCCAAAUAGGCAAAGUGAAAAUGGGUCCGAGUUACCCAGGGGUGGACAAAUCAUAAAUGCAUUUGCUAGGCCAUCGGGCAUCUAAACGCUCCCAUGUUCUGACCAGGCCCACGUUUUAGUUGUGCCAGAAACCUUCUCUAUCUAAACUAAAUGUAAUGGUGAGCUAAUUACCUCAUCAAGUGCAUUCGUACAAACUAACAAACAGAUUUCUGAUCAUUAUCCUCUUCUAACAUUGUUUAUAACGUAGCACCCGGCAACAAAAAGUCAGCAAGUCCUCAUACUGACUGUAAAAGAUGGUAUUUGAGGCUCCUGAGUGGUGGAACAGUCAAGCAUUCACAUUAUACUCGGGAGAUCACGAGUUUGGUUGCCACAGCUAUAUGUUAACAAAAUUGGCCAUGGUCUCGGUCUCUGGGUUUGGAGAGAUACUGAGGGAUAAUGGGAUACUGUCUCUCCCUGUAAAUCACAGUCAUUCGGGAAGCAUAUGCAUGUGAAAGAGGGUGGAUAGCACUUUCCUCCGAGUGUGUUAUGCUGCCCUGUGAUGCAGCAAUUAGAAAAGAUGUGGUUGGCUGGCUGCAUGUGUCUUGGAGGAAGCAAAUACUAGUUGGUAGGUGUCAAGUGACAGGGGAGAGCUGGCUGGUGGGUGGGGACUGCCAAGUUACCAAUGUGACCAAAGACAGCACCAAAUUAAACCAAAUACCACUACUAAAUGUUUCGCUAUAUUAUAUUAUAUAUAUAUAUAAAAUAUAAGCAGGAUGCCAAAUCUGCUUACGAUUUGUCCAUCUUUAUAUCUCAAUUUGUUUUCAAGAUGAACAACCUACAAUUUGGUCUGAUUCACACUGUACCCAUUAGCAUGAGAGUGGGUACAUCUUGAUGAUUAGCUCAGAGGAACAAACAAAAAAAAAAAAUCAGAUUAUUAUUACACUGAGAGGAGGGAAAAAUCACUGAGGCAACAGUGUGUGUGUGUUGGCAGGGGUUGACUCUCAGUUCUCAGCUUUCCCCAGCAAAGCAACCCCAUUAUAAUUCCCCCUGGCCUAACAUAUCCGCACGGCUCGAGUUUCCUAGCUCUGCAACAAUCCAAAAAUCAAUGGCCACUCCAGUAGACUGCCUGCCUCUCAGUCUCAAUUAAUAAUACAAGCUAACACACCAGUGAUAUGGGUAGAGUUAGCUCUGAUCAACUCUCAUCAUCAAAAGAAGUUGAUGUACAAGUACUCAAGCCUUUCGGAGCACUAGACACAAGGAGGAAUAGCUCAACCAUUCUGAAGUGAUGAAGCAGUGAUGAAGAGGACUGUUGUAUCAUCCUGAUAAAAAAAAAAAAAAGAUAUAAAAAGAUAGAUGAAGAUGGAAAUCAACGUAAGCAUAUCUAGCAAAGCUAUGAGCAAGCCCUUCAACAUUCGUCAAGCCUCCUCGUGUGUGUGUGUGUGUGUGUGCGUGCAUGUACUUUGAUCGAUACAGAGCUCUGCAUUUGCUUUAUUCAUAUGCAAAGAAGACCCUCUCUUAUCACAGGCUCCUAGUCCACUGACACACUAAUAAUUCUCUGCCGAGCAUAAAUUCGGUUGCAUGGCAACCGGCAAUUACGAUUGCCUACUGGAGAACCUGCCAAAUAUUAUUUCCCCAUCCGAGUUUCCUAUUUAAGUCAUAUACUCCGUCACUUGAUCAAAUCACACAGCUGCUUAACAGGUAGAGCUCAGUUUUUCAUCAGUUGAACGCAGACCUCAGUAAUCUCUGCAGACCAAUAUACUUGGCUACAGGCCUAUCUUGUAAACAUAAAUAAAACAGAUGCACGCAGUCUAGUCAAAGCAGAAGUGUAGCAAUUGCUAUUUAGAGCAUCUUCAUGGCAGUGGUGGCUUGGCGGUUAAGGUUCUGGGUUAAGGAUCGGGGGCUCAAGCUCCAGCACUGCCAGGAUCUGGGUUACUGAUCAGAAGGUCGGGAGUUCAAGCCCCAGCACUGGCAGGCUCUGGGUUACUGAUCAGAAGGUCGGGGGUUCAAGCCCCAGCACUGCCAGGCUCUGGGUUACUGAUCAGAAGGUCGGGGGUUCAAGCCCCAGAACUGCCAGCGCUGCCGCUGUUGGGCCCUUGAGCAAGGCCCUUAACCCUCUCUGCUCCAGGGGGCGCUGUAUCAUGGCUGACCCUGCGCUCUGACCUCGCUGACCCUGCGCUCUUCCUAACAUGCCGGGAUAUGCGAAGAAAAGAAUUUCACUGUGCUGUAAUGUAGUUGUGAUCAAUAAAGACUCUUUAUCAUUACCUUCAGUAAGCACUUUAUCCUGGUAGUGAAUCCGUAGCUUAUCCCAGGUACUCUGGGGAGUGAGGCAGGAAUAUAACCUAGAUAACCUUGCACACACACCCAUUCACACCUAAGGGUGAGUUUAUCUCCUGGCAUGAACCCGAGGAAAUACAGACAGACACGGUGAAAACAUAAAACGCCACACGCACACACAGCAGCCCAGGAUCAAACCAGUCCAAAUUAAACAAAAAAAAAAAAAAGAGAGAGGAAGUGAGGGAACAAACAAACAAACAAACAAAAAAGAAUGUUCCACAACCAUAAAUGUAACAAUAAAUGCAUUUAAAAAAUAAACUACUUUGAUUAGAGUAUCAGUGACUGUGCUUCAACCCCGCUGUUGAUAUUUUCCCCAUAACAGCACACCUUCAAGCACGUUAUUCCAUACUACCGGAAUGAGUAGUGGAGAUAAGCACUACACCUCUUUGUUUGAUAUAUUUUCUAAAACGAUAACGGUUUCCCGUCGGGUCAUUAAAACAGUUUCACUGCUUGAUUGGAAAAUAAUGACGCUUCCACCUUGCUUUGGGAAACACACUUAGACUAAAAUAUUCAUUACGACCCACCCUUACUGCGAUAAGAGUGUUUGAGAAGAGGGUGUGAAACAUGCUGUCGGAGUUCCCACCGCUUUCUUCCUCGCCAUUCGUUCACACGUUCUCCGCGGGCCGGGCACUUCUUCGGUUUUAGAGAGCAGCUUUUCCAAACUGCUACGAGAAGUGCCUUUCUGUCGGAAUGCACCGGAAGCCUGUUUGAAUCUAGACCUUAUAGUGGGCUUAAUUGAGUUUCAAGACAUGAGUGGAAAAGAUUCCAUAGACAACGUUAUCUCCAUAAUACAGUAUACUAAAAGAGUUGGGGAUGUUGUGCUCACUGUGUACCUUCCACAACCAAUUAAAAGCGGUAUUCAGCGAAGGUUGCGAACAUUACAACACGUCCUGACACUAGACUGCAUAUUCGUUAAGGCAGACAUGCAAAAACGGACAAAGAGCUCGUCUUUUACUCGUUUGGAAAACCCAAUCCUCCGGAGACCCUGUUAUUCAGCUAGAACAGUUUUCCCUACUGCACAUCUCCAUCGCAAUCCUGUUGCGUUUCAUAUUCAAGAGUAAAAUUCAAUAUCCGUCAAAUGAAGACCUUCUUAACAUAGAAUGCGCCUGCUGUCAUUACCCUGUCCAUUUCAACGGUAGCAGCAGCUUAGUAAUUGGCUGGUUUGUUUUUUUUUUAACCCCCUGCUGGUGUUUAGGAGCCACAGUUUUCUAAAUGAAACUAAAUGAAUUCUGGUAUGCCGUUACACUCUGAAAAAUCCUUCAUGGAGGUGUGAAUUAAAAUUUUACCGAGACAAAAAUGACUCAAAACACUUUUGUUUCUAGAGAUAUAGGAAAUAUAGAGGUUUCUUUGUACAGCUUGAUAGACUUUUUAAAGUGGCUGCACUCCUCCUUUGGCUCUACUGUUGCUGAGUUUCGUUUAUUCUACAACACAGGUGAACUGGAUUCUUCAGAAGGUGUUGAUUAAUUUCCCACAACAGCAUUUCAACUCACUGGUUUAAAAGAAUGCACUCGCUCUAAUACUUUACGAUUGCUAUAGUAACAGCUCAUUCACAGAGACUUGGAUGGUGGAUGCUCCAUGUAAUCUAAGGCUAAUAUGGAGGUUCAUGGAAGGAGUCUCCAGUUCAGUGCCUUGGGGCACCUUGGUGGCUUGGCGUUUAAGGCUUUGGGUUAUUGAUCGGAAGGUCGGGGGUUCAAGCCGCAGCACUGCCAGGCUCUGGGUUACUGAUAGGAAGGUCAGGGGUUCAAGCCGCAGCACUGC
Molecule: long non-coding RNA, 4856 nt
Organism: Ictalurus punctatus (channel catfish)
Lineage: Eukaryota; Metazoa; Chordata; Actinopteri; Siluriformes; Ictaluridae
Source: Ensembl